UAGGGAAUAUUAGAAAUGGACGAAAGUCUGAUCUAGCAACACCGCGUGUGCGAAGAAGGCCUUCGGGUCGUAAAGCACUUUUUGGAAGGAAUAGGAAGGAAUGUACUUCCAGAAUAAGUCUCGGCUAACUACGUGCCAGCAGCCGCGGUAACACGCAGGAGGCGAACGUUAUCCGGAUUUACUGGGCGUAAAGCGCGUGUAGGUGGUACUGUAAGUAGGGCGUGAAAGCUCCUGGCUCAACUGGGAGAGGCCGUUCUAAACUACAGAACUAGAGGAUGGUAGAGGGAGGUGGAAUUCCAGGUGUAGCGGUGAAAUGCGCAGAUAUCUGGAGGAACACCGGUGGCGAAGGCGGCCUCCUGGACCAUUCCUGACACUCAGACGCGAAAGCUAGGGUAGCAAACGG
RNAcentral lists this ribosomal RNA (403 nucleotides) under uncultured bacterium. Its description in RNAcentral is "bacterial SSU rRNA". It matches the Rfam family "Bacterial small subunit ribosomal RNA", at positions 355 to 775 of the family's 1533-position model. The record is from RNAcentral.